Molecule: unclassified non-coding RNA, 17 nt
Filed under: Mus musculus (house mouse)
Lineage: Eukaryota; Metazoa; Chordata; Mammalia; Rodentia; Muridae
Description: oocyte_clustered_small_RNA1805
Source: RNAcentral
UUGAAAGGCCACAUAAA